Molecule: long non-coding RNA, 370 nt
Filed under: Callithrix jacchus (white-tufted-ear marmoset)
Lineage: Eukaryota; Metazoa; Chordata; Mammalia; Primates; Cebidae
Description: lncRNA (ENSCJAG00000069034.2)
Source: RNAcentral
GUUUUGUUUUAGCAGGCAUCCAGCUAUGUUUUGUUCAGGCUACAAGUUUCUACCUGCCUCCUCUAAGCUCCUGUUGGAAUGUUAGUCCAGUUUUCAAAGCCUUUGCCCUGCCAUUUUGAUCCAUCCCAUGUGAAUGGCAUGCAGGUGCCAGUUUGAAGAUGGAACAGUGGUCUACCAUUCAGUUCAGUUCUUAAAGUUUUCGCUAUGUUGUUCGAGAUCAGAUUAAUUGAUAUGAGAUUGAGGAGGGAAUCCAUCACAUCAUGUAGGAGUCAUUGUUUCUCUAAGGCCACUGACUUACCUUCCAAGGUAUGUGCUGCCGUUUUUUUCAUGCUGUUUUUUACACCCAGAAUAUACCUUUCCUCAGCCCUGA